RNAcentral lists this non-coding RNA (46 nucleotides) under Schistosoma margrebowiei. The record is from RNAcentral. Lineage: Eukaryota; Metazoa; Platyhelminthes; Trematoda; Strigeidida; Schistosomatidae.
GCACUGCCGAGGAGUUCCACAACAGGACGAAACGGCCUUCCAGUGC